AACGAACGCUGGCGGCGUGCUUAACACAUGCCAGUCGAACGGGAAGGCCUUUUCGGGGGUCCUCGAGUGGCGAAAGGGUGAGUAACACGUGGUUGAUCUGCCCUUCACUCUGGGAUAAGCCUGGGAAACUGGGUCUAAUACCGGGUAGGACCGCACUUUAGCGUGUGUGGUGGAAAGUUUUUUCUGUGUAGGAUGAGCCCGCGGCCUAUCAGCUUGUUGGUGGGGUAAUGGCCUACCCAGGCGGCGACGGGUAGCCGGACUGAGAGGUUGGUCGGCCACAUUGGGACUGAGAUGCGGCCCAGACUCCUACGGGACGCAGCGGAGGGGAAGAUUGCACUAUGGGCGCAAGCCUGAUGCAGCGACGCAGCGUGGGGAUGACGGCCUUCGGGUUGUGAACGUCUUGCGCCAGGGACGAAGCGGUUUGUGACGGUACCUGGAGAAGAAGCACCGGCUAACUACGUG
This 462-nucleotide ribosomal RNA is filed under the name uncultured bacterium. RNAcentral's name for it is "partial 16S ribosomal RNA". It matches the Rfam family "Bacterial small subunit ribosomal RNA", at positions 28 to 507 of the family's 1533-position model. The record is from RNAcentral.